RNAcentral lists this unclassified non-coding RNA (335 nucleotides) under soil metagenome. RNAcentral describes it as "partial contains 5.8S ribosomal RNA, internal transcribed spacer 2, and large subunit ribosomal RNA". The stretch from base 1 to 120 matches the Rfam family "5.8S ribosomal RNA", at positions 35 to 154 of the family's 154-position model. The record is from RNAcentral.
GAUGAAGAACGUAGCGAAAUGCGAUAAGUAAUGUGAAUUGCAGAAUUCAGUGAAUCAUCGAAUCUUUGAACGCACAUUGCGCCCGCCAGUAUUCUGGCGGGCAUGCCUGUUCGAGCGUCAUUUCAACCAUCAAGCCCCCGGCUUGUGUUGGGGACCUGCGGCUGCCGCAGGCCCUGAAAAGCAGUGGUGGGCUCGCUGUCACACCGAGCGUAGUAGCAUACAUCUCGCUCUGGGCGUGCUGCGGGUUCCGGCCGUUAAACCACCUUCAUAACCCAAGGUUGACCUCGGAUCAGGUAGGAAGACCCGCUGAACUUAAGCAUAUCAUAAGCGGAGGA